Molecule: ribosomal RNA, 300 nt
Filed under: uncultured Ottowia sp.
Lineage: Bacteria; Pseudomonadati; Pseudomonadota; Betaproteobacteria; Burkholderiales; Comamonadaceae
Description: partial 16S ribosomal RNA
Rfam family: Bacterial small subunit ribosomal RNA
Source: RNAcentral
GCACACCAGGGGGCAGGGGCAGGGGUAUGACGUGGGGGGGGGGGGGUGUCCGGAAUUAGUGGGCGUAAAGGGAUCGUAGGCGGUCUGUCGCGUCGAAAUGGAAAACUCAGGGCUUAACCCUGAGCCUGCUUCCGAUACGGGCAGACUAGAGGUAUGCAGGGGAGAACGGAAUUCCUGGUGUAGCGGUGAAAUGCGCAGAUAUCAGGAGGAACACCGGUGGCGAAGGCGGUUCUCUGGGCAUUACCUGACGCUGAGGAGCGAAAGUGUGGGGAGCGAACAGGAUUAGAUACCCCAGUAGUC